Benincasa hispida (wax gourd) is the source of this 1430-nucleotide long non-coding RNA. RefSeq lists it as uncharacterized. NCBI's taxonomy places the organism in Eukaryota, Viridiplantae, Streptophyta, Magnoliopsida, Cucurbitales, Cucurbitaceae. The record is from RefSeq and is a predicted model, not a curated record.
GCAUUUCGAGAGAGAGAUUGAAGGAAGAGGAAGAAGAAGCUUGCUGCAGGUUGGAGGUUGAAGAAGAGAGGAAAAAGUUCAUGCAAGUGCAACCAUGGAAAAAUCUAGGUUCAACCGGCCUAUCUCUGGUUUUUAUGUCGAUUUGAACUACACAAGAAGAACUAAGAGGCCAAGAGGAAAUAGGUCGAGUCUACAGACCAGCGAACUAGCCAAGACUGAUUUUUAGGGAGAAAAGGGCUGAGCAGAGUAUCCCACAUCCUUCCUUCACCUCAUUAUUCAGGAGAGUAUUUUGAUCCCUCAUGCUUUACUUUUGAUCACAUUGGGGACAAUGUGUAUUUUAAAAGUUGGGAGUGAGGUGUUUAGAUUUUUGGGCCAUUUUUCUCAAAUUUUUGUGCUAAAAUUUUUAUUAAUGAUAUUAUUUGGGGUCCUUGAGCGCUAUGCUCGGGCAAUGUUUGCUUGUUAGUUUGUCUUGUUGUUGUGUUCCUUAUGAUGACUAGUCUAUGAUGCACUCAUAGGAAUUGUUUUUGCAUGAGAAUAGGUCGGAUGAAAGGAUUCAUAAUUUUCAUGAUAUUUUGAAAAUUCUGCUUAAAAUUUUUAUUACAUCUCCAAGCCCUUUGCAUAUCUAUCUUGACUCUGUAUGCUUUCUUAGAAUUAAAUUAUGAGACCAUAAGUUUGUUAUCAUUCCAAUAGGCCUUGGUGAUAGAUAUUAUUCUUUUUGCAAUUCAAUUUAGUAAUGCAUGCUUGAGAUGUAGUCAAUUGAUAUCACUGUCGCCUGGUAAGUAGGAUAUAUAUAUUUCAUUUAUGCAUGUUUAGGGGUCUACUCCUCUUCUUCCAAGGGUAUGAUUAACCUGGGGCGGCCAUGACACCCGUGGUUUCCCUCUGAGCUAAAGUAUCCUAGAGGAAUGAGUAAGCUUAGGAACUUUUGAAGGAAAAUUGGCCCGUAGUUAGAUGAUUCGCAUUUCACCCGUGUGGGCAAGCCAAAACGAAAGUCGAUUUCCUGAAUUAAGUUUUCCCUCUUUAUUUUUUGUUGUAAGAAGGCGAUGGUGGAUAGAUUUUGACCGAUCCAUUGUUAUGUCAUUACCACUUUGAAUUUAGGAAAGCUAAUUCAGGAUCCUUCGAACCAAUGUAGAGGGAAAAUAAAUGGAAGAUUCAUAAGGCCAUUUCAGGCUCGCUCUUGUUCAAAAUAAAUAACUUUGAGCUUGAAUAUACAUAAAAUAUUUUUAAACAAAUUUUCAAACCGUUCAUGAAAAUUUGAUUGUGAAUUCGAUUCUAGUUGACUGUUGAGACUUGAGUAGGGAACACUUUAGUUUGACAAACUGAUUAUUAUUUUUGGCAUGAUUGCUGAUAACGGGCAAAAAUUCAUGUUAUCAUAGUGCUAAGUUAAUAAACAAUGUUGGAUUGCGUUGAUGAAAAAAUGAUAAAUUGCACCC